Molecule: ribosomal RNA, 253 nt
Filed under: uncultured bacterium
Lineage: Bacteria
Description: partial 16S ribosomal RNA
Rfam family: Bacterial small subunit ribosomal RNA
Source: RNAcentral
GACGGAGGGGGCUAGCGUUGUUCGGAAUUACUGGGCGUAAAGCGCGUGUAGGCGGCUUGGCAAGUCGGUUGUGAAAGCCCGGGGCCCAACCCCGGAAUUGCAUCUGAAACUGCCUCGCUAGAGUCCCGGAGAGGAAGGCAGAAUUCCCGGUGUAGGGGUGAAAUCCGUAGAUAUCGGGAGGAAUACCAGCGGCGAAGGCGGCCUUCUGGACGGUGACUGACGCUGAGACGCGAAAGCGUGGGGAGCAAACAGG